Molecule: long non-coding RNA, 533 nt
Filed under: Arabidopsis lyrata
Lineage: Eukaryota; Viridiplantae; Streptophyta; Magnoliopsida; Brassicales; Brassicaceae
Description: long non-coding RNA (ALYR_LNC000873)
Source: RNAcentral
CCAUUUAUACCUUGGAAGUUCCCUCAAACUCACCUUUUGCUCCUGCGGUUGUUCCUUACCGUUAGGCAACACUAGCUUGAGGUUCACCGGCGUGUCCCAUCCAUAGGCCGGAUCCUCUAGCUUCACCUUAAAGAACACCUCGUAAGCAAUCCCCGGAGUGAGGUUCCUCGUGUCAAAUUUUCCCGUGAUGUCGAGCCAACAAACGUUUUUCAAUCCCACAGCUUCCACAGUCUCGCUUUAAAAAUCAUCAAUAAACAAAAGUUUGUCACUUUGCGUUAAUAAUUAUAGGUCUAAUACCUCGAAUUUUUUGGUUACCAAAAGAAAGAAAAUAUUUUUACCAGUUCGUGUUAAUAAUUAUUGCUAUAAUUUACAUACACAAACUUUAAACGUCGUCUAACCUGUUUUGGUUUUAUCAAGCAUACUUUGAUUCAUACUUCACGUUAUUGUAAAUCAAUAAAUUCAAAUUUGUAAAAAAGAUAUCCAUUUUGUGGUAAUAUUCAUACUAUGGGAUUUAAAUGAAACCUAUCUUACUU